UGGACCAGUGAUGAAUGUCAUCGGGUAUCUGAAACAAGAAUUUUGAUUAAACCCAUCUGCCACUCUGAGGUCCGU
RNAcentral lists this small nucleolar RNA (75 nucleotides) under Suricata suricatta (meerkat). RNAcentral's name for it is "Small nucleolar RNA SNORD113/SNORD114 family (ENSSSUG00005011975.1)". It matches the Rfam family "Small nucleolar RNA SNORD113/SNORD114 family". Rfam says of the family: The imprinted human domain at 14q32 contains two clusters of tandemly repeated small nucleolar RNAs named 14q(I) and 14q(II) snoRNAs. These two clusters are named SNORD113 and SNORD114 respectively in the HGNC approved gene symbol nomenclature. The snoRNAs found in both clusters are clearly related and are represented here by a single family. Lineage: Eukaryota; Metazoa; Chordata; Mammalia; Carnivora; Herpestidae. The record is from Rfam by way of RNAcentral.